AGAGUUUGAUCCUGGCUCAGAUUGAACGCUGGCGGCAUGCCUUACACAUGCAAGUCGAACGGCAGCGCGGGGCAACCUGGCGGCGAGUGGCGAACGGGUGAGUAAUAUAUCGGAACAUACCCUAGAGUGGGGGAUAACGUAGCGAAAGUUACGCUAAUACCGCAUACGAUCUGAGGAUGAAAGUGGGGGAUCGCAAGACCUCAUGCUCAUGGAGUGGCCGAUAUCUGAUUAGCUAGUUGGUAGGGUAAAAGCCUACCAAGGCGACGAUCAGUAGCUGGUUUGAGAGAACGACCAGCCACACUGGAACUGAGACACGG
Molecule: ribosomal RNA, 317 nt
Filed under: uncultured bacterium
Lineage: Bacteria
Description: bacterial SSU rRNA
Rfam family: Bacterial small subunit ribosomal RNA
Source: RNAcentral